This 491-nucleotide unclassified non-coding RNA is filed under the name Hevea brasiliensis (rubber tree). Lineage: Eukaryota; Viridiplantae; Streptophyta; Magnoliopsida; Malpighiales; Euphorbiaceae. The record is from RNAcentral.
GCAAUGACAAAAAGUCCCAUUAUGGUGUGUUGGCUGAAACCUUUUCUGUUUUAUUAUUACUUGAGAUAUUUUUCCAUGGCGUAUAUAAAUUCAUCAUCUUCUUUUGUUAGACAAAUUAUAUUAUAUAUUUAAAAAAAAAAAAUACUUUGGCACUUUUCCUGGAAUAGCAGUAAGAAUAGGAUGGCCUCUUACCAGUAAUACCUUCACAAUAUAAGGAAGUGAAAUAAUUUUCUUCUUUGAUGGCAUGAGUAUGAUACAAGGUUUGAAAAUGUAGGGAAAAAACAAAGAAAGAUGUGGCAGGAAGAGAAACUGCCACCUUAAUACUGCCAUGUUGGUGUGGCCUGUGGAACCAUGUAAUUAUCAGUUUUUACAUAUUUGGUUGGUUUCCACCAUGGAGGGAGGGAGAAAGGAGGGGGAAGAGGAGGGAGAAGAGGUGAGGGGGGCAUAUUUUAUUUUGUUUAAUUGUUUAAAAUUUAUUAAUUCCUUAAAAG